CUUAUCUCGAAUUUGGAAUA
Molecule: small nuclear RNA, 20 nt
Filed under: Arabidopsis thaliana (thale cress)
Lineage: Eukaryota; Viridiplantae; Streptophyta; Magnoliopsida; Brassicales; Brassicaceae
Description: snRNA_08656
Source: RNAcentral